GGGGGUGUGGCUCAGUGGUAGAGUGUCUGCUUUUCAUGUAGAGGAUCCCAGGGUCAAUUCCUGGUACCUCCA
Molecule: non-coding RNA, 72 nt
Organism: Gekko japonicus
Lineage: Eukaryota; Metazoa; Chordata; Lepidosauria; Squamata; Gekkonidae
Source: the annotation of a RefSeq genome assembly